Molecule: non-coding RNA, 73 nt
Organism: Stegodyphus mimosarum
Lineage: Eukaryota; Metazoa; Arthropoda; Arachnida; Araneae; Eresidae
Source: Rfam
GCCUUUGAGGUGUAGUUGUCAGCAUGCUCGACGCGUAAUCGAGAGGUCCGUGGUUCGAGUCCCGGCGAAGGCA